Molecule: ribosomal RNA, 468 nt
Filed under: uncultured bacterium
Lineage: Bacteria
Description: partial 16S ribosomal RNA
Rfam family: Bacterial small subunit ribosomal RNA
Source: RNAcentral
GACGAACGCUGGCGGCGUGCUUAACACAUGCAAGUCGAACGGUGAAGCUCCAGCUUGCUGGAGUGGAUCAGUGGCGAACGGGUGAGUAACACGUGAGCAACCUGCCCCUGACUCUGGAAUAAGCUCUGGAAACGGCGUCUAAUACUGGAUACGAGAAGGGUCCGCAUGGUCACUUUCUGGAAAGGUUUUCGGUUGGGGAUGGGCUCGCGGCCUAUCAGCUUGUUGGUGAGGUAAUGGCUCACCAAGGCGACGACGGGUAGCCGGCCUGAGAGGGCGACCGGCCCCACUGGGACUGCGACACGGCCCAGCAUCCUACGGGAGGCAGCAGUGGGGAAUAUUGCACAAUGGGCGAAAGCCUGAUGCAGCGACGCCGCGUGAGGGAUGACGGCCUUCGGGUUGUAAACCUCUUUCAGCAGGGAAGAAGCGAAAGUGACGGUACCUGCAGAAGAAGCACCGGCUAACUACGUG